CACGAACGCUGGCGGCAUGGCUAAAACAUGCAAGUCGAACGCGAAAGCCCUUCGGGGGCAAGUAGAGUGGCGAAAGGGCGAGGAAUACGUUUCCAUGUAACCCCCGGUCGGGGAUAGCCCGGAGAAAUCCGGAGUAAUACCCGAUGUGGUCCUUCGGGAUCAAAGGCUUCGGUCGCCAGGGGAGCGGGGAACGCCCUAUCAGGUUGUUGGUGAGGUAACGGCUCACCAAGCCUAAGACGGGUAGCGGGUGUGAGAGCAUGACCCGCCGCAUCGGGACUGAGACACUGCCCGGACUCCUACGGGAGGCUGCAGUAACGAAUCUUCCGCAAUGCGCGAAAGCGUGACGGAGCAAUGCCGCGUGCAGGAUGAAGCUCUUCGGAGUGUAAACUGCUGUCAGGGUUUAGCAACACAAUGAGCAGACCCAAAGGAAGGGCCGGCUAACUUCGUG
RNAcentral lists this ribosomal RNA (448 nucleotides) under uncultured bacterium. RNAcentral describes it as "bacterial SSU rRNA". It matches the Rfam family "Bacterial small subunit ribosomal RNA", at positions 29 to 507 of the family's 1533-position model. The record is from RNAcentral.